UGAUGCAAGAAAUAAAUGCAGCAUAUAAUAUUAUAUCUACCCUAAGAGGGACUUACAUGAAGAGGAAGAGAGAGUGAUGCAGCCAAGGAUGACUUGCCGGCGUUAUUAUUUGCUCAUGUUCAUGCUCACCGGUUUCCUUGCCGGCAAGUUGUGUUUGGCUAUGUUUUGCUCUCUUCUUCUCAUGUAAGUGCCACUUAGGACCAAUUGUUGGAUCACCAGGAAGCCCUUCACUUGCAUGAUGAGGUCCAAAUUACCCAUGAUAUAUUUUUUUGUAAAUUGUACUGUAUCUUUUUUCUCCGGUGCGAAACACUUCGUUAAUAGACAUAUAGCAAGUGAGUGUACGUGUGAAUAAUGCAGCCUAAUUGGCGUGGAGACCAAGAUAAUAUGCCAGCAUACAGCCAGGCCAAGUAUCACAGAAUCAAAAUUUUGAACAGUGUUAGCGAGCUGAUCAAUGUGUAUCACGAUAUAAAAGUGAAAAUAUAUAUGGUUUUCACCUGUUGGAAAGACACAUUUAUUUGAGCACUGUCCAUGUCCAUGUGCAAAAACAAAAUGCUUGCAUGCACAUGUUGAACUUUUUGUACAUGGUGGCCGUCCAAAGUGGACCAAGCAAUUAUUAUCUCUGCUCAUGAACAUUUUGAGUCUCCCAAAAUGAUUCCUGAAGUGUAGCAUGUGCAGCAGUCAUGUGUCAUAGGUACGUAAGCAAAGAAAAAUUAAUUAUCUCUUAGCGUGUCUAUAUAUAUGUUUUACGCUACACAUAAAAUAAAAUGCUUUUAAAAUGAUAUGAUGUUCAGUUCAACCUUGAACAGAGAAAAGAGAAAUGGGACAAAAGCUGCAUGCAUGAAAUCAUGAACUAUAAAAUGACAUCCUCAAGGGAGAAAGAGAAAGAUAAGAUUGAAGUGACAAAAAGUCUAAAAGUAUAAGAUUUUGUUUAAAAGUUGAUUAAAAUUAGUAUUAAUUAAUUCUUUUUUAAUUGUAAAAUAAAAUUAAAAUGUAUGUCUACGUUAAAUAAUGAUUUUCUCAUUAGAACGUGUGCAUGGUGAAAAUAAUUGAUUCUUAAGGGGGCAUUAGAACUGCUGCAAAGAUAACCGGUCAAUUCAUUGACUCGAUUGAGUACGAUAUUAAUAUGGGUGAG
Glycine soja is the source of this 1132-nucleotide long non-coding RNA. RefSeq lists it as uncharacterized. NCBI's taxonomy places the organism in Eukaryota, Viridiplantae, Streptophyta, Magnoliopsida, Fabales, Fabaceae. The record is from RefSeq and is a predicted model, not a curated record. The transcript is spliced from 3 exons.